RNAcentral lists this ribosomal RNA (431 nucleotides) under uncultured bacterium. RNAcentral's name for it is "bacterial SSU rRNA". It matches the Rfam family "Bacterial small subunit ribosomal RNA", at positions 355 to 786 of the family's 1533-position model. The record is from RNAcentral.
UGAGGAAUAUUGGUCAAUGGUCGGGAGACUGAACCAGCCAAGCCGCGUGAGGGAGAAGGUGCUAAGCAUUGUAAACCUCUUUUGUCAGGGAACAAAGGCAUCCACGAGUGGGUGUGUGAGUGUACCUGAAGAAAAAGCAUCGGCUAACUCCGUGCCAGCAGCCGCGGUAAUACGGAGGAUGCGAGCGUUAUCCGGAUUUAUUGGGUUUAAAGGGUGCGUAGGCGGCCUGUUAAGUCAGCGGUAAAAGCCCGGGGCUCAACCCGGCGAGCCGUUGAAACUGGCUGGCUGGAGUUGGCGAGAGGUAUGCGGAAUGCGCGGUGUAGCGGUGAAAUGCUUAGAUAUCGCGCAGAACUCCGAUUGCGAAGGCAGCAUGCCGGCGCCACACUGACGCUGAGGCACGAAAGCGUGGGGAUCAAACAGGAUUAGAUACC